RNAcentral lists this ribosomal RNA (484 nucleotides) under uncultured bacterium. RNAcentral's name for it is "partial 16S ribosomal RNA". It matches the Rfam family "Bacterial small subunit ribosomal RNA", at positions 30 to 507 of the family's 1533-position model. The record is from RNAcentral.
AUUGAACGCUGGCGGCAGGCCUAACACAUGCAAGUCGAGCGGAUGAAGGGAGUUUGCUCCUGGAUUCAGCGGCGGACGGGUGAGUAAUGCCUAGGAAUCUGCCUGGUAGUGGGGGAUAACGUCCGGAAACGGGCGCUAAUACCGCAUACGUCCUGAGGGAGAAAGUGGGGGAUCUUCGGACCUCACGCUAUCAGAUGAGCCUAGGUCGGAUUAGCUAGUUGGUGGGGUAAAGGCCUACCAAGGCGACGAUCCGUAACUGAUCUGAGAGGAUGAUCAGUCACACUGGAACUGAGACACGGUCCAGACUCCUACGGGAGGCAGCAGUGGGGAAUAUUGGACAAUGGGCGAAAGCCUGAUCCAGCCAUGCCGCGUGUGUGAAGAAGGUCUUCGGAUUGUAAAGCACUUUAAGUUGGGAGGAAGGGCAGUAAGUUAAUACCUUGCUGUUUUGACGUUACCAACAGAAUAAGCACCGGCUAACUUCGUG